UAUAGUCAGUGGGGGUUGCAAUUAUCAUGAAAAGUGUAGAUUAUUGCUUCUGUCUUGACAUAUGCUGGUCAAAAUGUUUGUGGGAAUUGGGAAGAUGUCAGACAACUAUUGUAGCAAUGUGUGUGUGAGGAUGCUGUGAGUGUCAGAGGUGCAGUGUGUGUGUGAGGGUGCUGUGAGUGUCAGGGGUGCAGUGUGUGUGUGUGAUGGUGCUGUGAGUGUUAGCGGUGCAUUUUGUGUGUCCUGUGAGUGUCAGGGGUGCAGUGUGUGUGUGUGUGUGUGUG
This is a non-coding RNA of Pelobates cultripes (western spadefoot toad), 281 nucleotides long. Lineage: Eukaryota; Metazoa; Chordata; Amphibia; Anura; Pelobatidae. The record is from the annotation of a GenBank genome assembly.